GAGUUUGAUCCUGGAUCACGAUGAACGCUAGCGGCGUGCCUAGUGCGUGCGAGUCCAACAGGAUCCUUUGGAUUCUUCUGAAGGUGAGAGUGGCGAACGGGUGAGUAACACGUUGGUGACCUGCCCCAGAGAGGGGGAUAACUAUUGGAAACGAUAGCUAAUACCCCAGAUGUCAUUGUUGUUAGAGAGUAAUGACUAAAUGCUCCGGCGCCCUGGGAGGGGCCUGCGGCCCAUCAGCUAGUUGGUAGGGUAAUGGCCUACCAAGGCAAAGAGGGGUAGGGGGCGUGAGAGCGUGACCCCCCACACUGGUACUGAUACACGGACCAAAUACCUACCGGUAGCACCAGCGAGGAAUAUUGCCCAAUGGACGCAAGUCUGAGGCAGCAACGCCGCGUGGAGGAUGAAGGCCUUCGGGUUGUAAACUCCUUUUCUGGGGGAAGAGAAAGGACGGUACCCCAGGAAUGAGUCUCGGCUAACUACAUGCCAGCGGCCGCGGUAAGACGUAUGAGGCGAGCGUUAUCCGGAUUUACUGGGCGUAUAGCGCGUGCAGGCGGUUUUCUAAGUCGGACGUGAAAGCUCCCGGCUCAACUGGGAGAGGUCGUUCGAAACUAGGAGACUUGAGGAUGGUAGAGGAGAGUGGAAUUCCCGGUGUAGUGGUGAAAUGCGUAUAUAUCGGGAGGAACACUAGUGGCGAAGGCGGCUCUCUGGGACAUUCCUGACGUCUAGACGCGAAAGCUAGGGGAGAGAACGGGAUUAGAAACCCCGGUACUCCUAGCCGUAAACGGUGUCACCUAGGUGUAGGGGGUAUCCAACCCCUCUGUGCUGUAGCAAACGCGUUAAGUUGACCGCUUGGGGACUACGUCCGCAAGGCUAAAACUCAAAGGAACUGACGGGGACCCGCACAAGCAGCGGAGCGUGUGGUUUAAUUCGAGGAUACGCGAAGAACCUUACCAGGGUUUGACAUGGCGGUGGUAGGAAAGUGAAAGCUAACCGACCCUUCGGGGAGCCGUCACAGGUGCUGCAUGGCUGUCGUCAGCUCGUGCCGUGAGGCGUUAGGUUAAGUCCUGUAACGAGCGCAACCCUCGUCGCUAGUUAUACGUGUCUAGCGAGACUUCCGGUGAUAAGCCGGACGAAGGUGGGGAUGACGUCAAGUCAGCAUGGCCUUUAUAUCCUGGGCUACACACACGCUACAAUGGCCGGUACAGUGGGUUGCCAAGCCGCGAGGCGGAGCCAAUCCCCACAAAGCCGGUCUCAAUUCGGAUUGUAGGCUGCAACUCGCUUGCAUGAAGUCGGAGUUGCUAGUAACCGCGCGUCAGCAACAGCGCGGUGAAUACGUUCCCGGGUCUUGUACACACCGCCCGUCAUGUCAUGGAAGUUGGCAACGCCUGAAGUCGGUGAGCUAACCCUAACGGGAGGCAACCUGCCCAAGGCGGGGUCGGUAACUGGGAUGAAGUCGUAACAAGGUAUCC
Molecule: ribosomal RNA, 1469 nt
Filed under: uncultured Chloroflexota bacterium
Lineage: Bacteria; Bacillati; Chloroflexota
Description: uncultured Chloroflexi bacterium 16S ribosomal RNA
Rfam family: Bacterial small subunit ribosomal RNA
Source: RNAcentral